RNAcentral lists this ribosomal RNA (462 nucleotides) under uncultured bacterium. Its description in RNAcentral is "bacterial SSU rRNA". It matches the Rfam family "Bacterial small subunit ribosomal RNA", at positions 329 to 788 of the family's 1533-position model. The record is from RNAcentral.
GGCCAGACUCCUACGGGAGGCAGCAGUGGGGAAUAUUGGUCAAUGGGCUUACGCCUGAACCAGCCAAGUCGCGUGAGGGAAGACUGCCCUAUGGGUUGUAAAACUCUUUUGUCAGGGAGCAACGCCGGCUACGUGUAGCCGGACUGAGAGUACCUGAAGAAAAAGCAUCGGCUAACUCCGUGCCAGCAGCCGCGGUAAUACGGAGGAUGCGAGCGUUAUCCGGAUUUAUUGGGUUUAAAGGGUGCGCAGGCGGAAUGUCAAGUCAGCGGUAAAAUUUCGGGGCUCAACCCCGUCGUGCCGUUGAAACUGGCGUUCUUGAGUGAGCGAGAAGUAUGCGGAAUGCGUGGUGUAGCGGUGAAAUGCAUAGAUAUCACGCAGAACUCCGAUUGCGAAGGCAGCAUACCGGCGCGCAACUGACGCUCAUGCACGAAAGCGUGGGUAUCGAACAGGAUUAGAUACCCC